CCUACGGGAGGCAGCAGUGAGGAAUAUUGGUCAAUGGACGAGAGUCUGAACCAGCCAAGUAGCGUGAAGGAUGACUGCCCUAUGGGUUGUAAACUUCUUUUAUAUGGGAAUAAAAUGUUCCACGUGUGGGAUUUUGUAUGUACCAUAUGAAUAAGGAUCGGCUAAUUCCGUGCCAGCAGCCGCGGUAAUACGGAGGAUCCGAGCGUUAUCCGGAUUUAUUGGGUUUAAAGGGAGCGUAGGUGGAUUGUUAAGUCAGUUGUGAAAGUUUGCGGCUCAACCGUAAAAUUGCAGUUGAAACUGGCAGUCUUGAGUACAGUAGAGGUGGGCGGAAUUCGUGGUGUAGCGGUGAAAUGCUUAGAGAUCACGAAGAACUCCGAUUGCGAAGGCAGUUCACUGGACUGCAACUGACACUGAGGCUCGAAAGUGUGGGUAUCAAACAGGAUUAGAUACCCGGGUAGUC
Molecule: ribosomal RNA, 460 nt
Filed under: uncultured bacterium
Lineage: Bacteria
Description: partial 16S ribosomal RNA
Rfam family: Bacterial small subunit ribosomal RNA
Source: RNAcentral